RNAcentral lists this ribosomal RNA (633 nucleotides) under uncultured bacterium. RNAcentral's name for it is "bacterial SSU rRNA". It matches the Rfam family "Bacterial small subunit ribosomal RNA", at positions 8 to 653 of the family's 1533-position model. The record is from RNAcentral.
AGAGUUUGAUCAUGGCUCAGGACGAACGCUGGCGGCGUGCCUAACACAUGCAAGCCACGGGGGCCCGCAAGGGUAACCGGCGAACGGGUGCGUAACACGUGAGCAAUCUGCCGAUUUCUGGGGGAUAGCCGGUCCAACGACCGGGUAAUACCGCAUACGCUCAUUGGGGGGCAUUCCCCGAUGAGGAAACCUCCGGGGGAAAUCGAGGAGCUCGCGGCCUAUCAGCUAGUUGGUGAGGUAACGGCUCACCAAGGCGACGACGGGUAGCUGGUCUGAGAGGAUGGCCAGCCACAUUGGGACUGCGACACGGCCCAGACUCCUACGGGAGGCAGCAGUGGGGAAUAUUGCGCAAUGGACGAAAGUCUGACGCAGCGACGCCGCGUGUGGGAUGAAGCUUUUCGGAGUGUAAACCACUGUUGCUCGGGACGAACCUCCCCUUUCGAGGGGACUGACGGUACCGAGUGAGGAAGCACCGGCUAACUCUGUGCCAGCAGCCGCGGUAAUACAGAGGGUGCGAGCGUUGUCCGGAAUCACUGGGCGUAAAGGGCGCGUAGGUGGCUUGGUAAGCGUGCGGUGAAAGCUCGGGGCUCAACCCCGAGUCUGCCAUGCGAACUGCCGAGCUUGAGCAUAGUA